UGGUGAUGUGUUUGUAGAUCUUACUUUACUAAACAUUCUUGCUGCUUACAAUUAUCUCUAUCUAUAACAGUACUUUCUGUGGAAAAUGUUAUUGAAAAUCUUCAAAUUUUAAGAAAAUUGUUAAAAAUUGACUAUGAAGGGCAAUAACUCCUUAGGGGGUCAAUUGACUAUUUUGGUCAUACUGACUUAUUUUUAGUUCUUACUUUGCUGUACAUGAUUGCUGUUUACAGUUUAUCUCUAUCUAUAAU
Molecule: long non-coding RNA, 248 nt
Filed under: Mytilus galloprovincialis (Mediterranean mussel)
Lineage: Eukaryota; Metazoa; Mollusca; Bivalvia; Mytilida; Mytilidae
Source: RNAcentral